RNAcentral lists this ribosomal RNA (847 nucleotides) under Boeremia exigua var. exigua. Its description in RNAcentral is "eukaryotic LSU rRNA". The stretch from base 1 to 188 matches the Rfam family "Eukaryotic small subunit ribosomal RNA", at positions 1646 to 1831 of the family's 1831-position model. The record is from RNAcentral. Lineage: Eukaryota; Fungi; Ascomycota; Dothideomycetes; Pleosporales; Didymellaceae.
UACGUCCCUGCCCUUUGUACACACCGCCCGUCGCUACUACCGAUUGAAUGGCUCAGUGAGGCCUCCGGACUGGCUCGAAGAGGUUGGCAACGACCACUUCGAGCCGGAAAGUUCGUCAAACUCGGUCAUUUAGAGGAAGUAAAAGUCGUAACAAGGUUUCCGUAGGUGAACCUGCGGAAGGAUCAUUACUUAGAGUUGUAGGCUUUGCCUACCAUCUCUUACCCAUGUCUUUUGAGUACCUUCGUUUCCUCGGCGGGUCCGCCCGCCGAUUGGACAAACUUAAACCCUUUGUAAUUGAAAUCAGCGUCUGAAAAAACAUAAUAGUUACAACUUUCAACAACGGAUCUCUUGGUUCUGGCAUCGAUGAAGAACGCAGCGAAAUGCGAUAAGUAGUGUGAAUUGCAGAAUUCAGUGAAUCAUCGAAUCUUUGAACGCACAUUGCGCCCCUUGGUAUUCCAUGGGGCAUGCCUGUUCGAGCGUCAUUUGUACCUUCAAGCUCUGCUUGGUGUUGGGUGUUUGUCUCGCCUUUGCGUGUAGACUCGCCUUAAAACAAUUGGCAGCCGGCGUAUUGAUUUCGGAGCGCAGUACAUCUCGCGCUUUGCACUCAUAACGACGACGUCCAAAAAGUACUUUUUACACUCUUGACCUCGGAUCAGGUAGGGAUACCCGCUGAACUUAAGCAUAUCAAUAAGCGGAGGAAAAGAAACCAACAGGGAUUGCCCUAGUAACGGCGAGUGAAGCGGCAACAGCUCAAAUUUGAAAUCUGGCGUCUUUGGCGUCCGAGUUGUAAUUUGCAGAGGGCGCUUUGGCAUUGGCAGCGGUCCAAGUUCCUUGGAACAGGACGUCA